RNAcentral lists this ribosomal RNA (306 nucleotides) under uncultured bacterium. RNAcentral's name for it is "partial 16S ribosomal RNA". It matches the Rfam family "Bacterial small subunit ribosomal RNA", at positions 507 to 807 of the family's 1533-position model. The record is from RNAcentral.
GACAGCAGCAGCCGCGGUAAUACGAAGGGUGCAAGCGUUAAUCGGAAUUACUGGGCGUAAAGCGUGCGUAGGCGGUUUGUUAAGUCUGUUGUGAAAUCCCCGGGCUCAACCUGGGAACUGCAUUUGUGACUGGCAAGCUAGAGUGUGGCAGAGGGGGGUGGAAUUCCGCGUGUAGCAGUGAAAUGCGUAGAUAUGCGGAGGAACACCGAUGGCGAAGGCAGCCCCCUGGGCCAACACUGACGCUCAUGCACGAAAGCGUGGGGAGCAAACAGGAUUAGAUACCCCGGUAGUCCCUGUCUCUUAUAC